RNAcentral lists this long non-coding RNA (8423 nucleotides) under Monomorium pharaonis (pharaoh ant). RNAcentral describes it as "uncharacterized LOC114255507". The record is from RNAcentral. Lineage: Eukaryota; Metazoa; Arthropoda; Insecta; Hymenoptera; Formicidae.
ACAGCAAAAAAAUGGUUAUAACAAUGUUAUAACGUUCGGCCAGCUUUGAUUUACAGCUAUUUGACAGCAAAUGCUAUUUUGCUAAAUUUUUAGCUGGGAAAGCGAAACAACAGCUAAUGUAAAAAAAGUGAAAAGACUGCAACAGCUAUUUCGAUGACAGCUGUGAAGUCAUUGUGACAGACACUAUUUUGCUGUGAAGAAGUUCAUCAUAACUUGUUUAUAACAAAAUAACUGAACAGCCAAAUAGCAGCAACAACAUUUUGAAAACCUAAAAAUGUUAUGCUACUUUUACUGGUGCAACAUUGUCAAAACAUUAUAAUGAUGUUGUGGCAGUAGCUGUGCUAGACAAAAUGCUCUGAUUUAAACUGCAACAACAUUAUCGCAGCCGUUUUACAAUUUUACGUGCUUGGGGAGAAAUGUCAUAAUACUCGCCGUCUUCCGGGGUAUUGAUUGAUAGAUUGAAGUUUAUUUAGCUUUCUCAGCUAUUAUGUUUUAUAUUGAUUUACAUGCUUUUUUAACAUCCGUUUAAAUAUAUCAAUUCUUUCACAACUUCUAAUUUCUGCUGACAAGGUAUUGUACGCCCUCAUAAUUUUACGCCCUCAUAACACAUGCAUUUUUGUGCACUUUUAGUUUUAAUAAAUUUUAUUGCGAUAGUCUCUUCUUGUUUUGUUUUUCUUUCAUUUUCAUUACUAAUUACUUCUAGUCUAUCCCUUAAGUAAUUUGGCGCCAAGUUAUGUAAAAUCUUAAAUAUAAAUAUACAUACAUUAUAGUGUAGUCUCUUUUAUAGACAUAAAUUGCAACGCUUGUAACAUAUAUUCUAUUUUGGUGUAUUUAUUACAUUGUAAUAUUACUCGCAUAGCCCGAUUCUGUGCUACUUGCAAUUUAUUCAAUUGCGUUUCUCCCAUAUCUACCAGUAGAGACCAGGAGAGACCGGGAAAAACCGGGAGAGACGGGGAAAACGGAGAGAGACGGAGAGAGACGGGGAGAGACGGGGAGAGACCGGGAGAGACGCGGAGAGACGGGGAUUGUAAUUUCGCAACAGGAGAAACAGACCCGUAAUAAAUAGUAUCACCCACAAAGAGCGGGACGAGACGCGGUACAACGUGUUCGUUGCCGGCAAUGUUCGUGCACUAACCAGCACGAAAUGCGACUGUCUCCUCGUGCCUCAUAACGCAACUCUAAUAACGACAUUAAAGAUGUUUUUUUUAUUAAUUAAGGUGGAAGACCAAGCUAAGAGAUAUGAACGAUUCCGAAUGAACAUGGACAAAUCAUAACGCUUUUUUUCAUGCCCCGGCAAAAAAAGGAACAUAUUCGUUAAUAUAAUUUUUUUGAAGGACUAUUAAUAAAACAUAAAUUCUGGCUUUGCCAACCUGUUUCUUCUAUAUGUCUAACUUAUAGAUUUAUUUCUAAUUUGUAUUUUUAAUCAAUUUCAAAAAAAGAAGGUUUUUGAUUUAAUACAUUUGUUAGGUAUGUGUAUUUAUAAUUCACCAGUAGUAAUGAAGUUUUUUUAUUCUUCUCUUUAUUGUUAAAUUAUGUUGUAGCUUUCAUUGAUGGUCAAAUACUAAUCGCACCAUUGCUCGCAAAAUGUAUAUUAUAUAAUGUGCACAGGUAUGUGAGCGUUUACAAUGUAUUGAAUUAUAAAUUAGUGCUAAUCUAAACGACUAUGCAGAUUUCUACGGAAAAGUGUAAAAUUAAACUCAACGUUUAUUCAUUCUAAUUCACACUUGUUUACGCUUUGCUUGAUGUGUAAUACAUCCGUAACAUCUUUUAAUGAAUCAAGUCAAGAAAAUGCGUUAUACCUGAAUUUAUUUUUUCCAGCGACGUAUUAGAGUUCACGGAGGUGUAAUCGCGUCUACUUGUAUAUCGAAAACCAUAGAAAUGGAUCCUCCAAAUCGCUGUUGGCGAAACGGCCAGCCGGUGCAGCAUAAUCCAAAUUAGUCGUGUUUGCGCACGUUAAUUAAUUAUUAUGGCUAAUCGCGUGGUUCGGCGAAAAUCCGACGGGCCAAGCGAGCCAGUGAUUUAUUGCCUGUACAACGAUCGAUCGUAGAGAACACGAUCGAUUCGUUUUCCAUGCAGCACAAAUUAAUGAGAUCAUAGUGGGCGGUAAUCCUCCCACCCCCUCAUUUCUCUUUCUCUCUCUCUCUCUCUCUCUCUCUCUCUCUCUCUCUCUCUCUCUCUCUCUCUCUCUCUCUCUCUCUCUCUCUCUCUCUCUCUCUCUCUCUCUCUCCCUCUCUGCGUUUAUGUGCCGUUGCAACUUCGACAUUACGGUUGCACAACGAUAAAGGGCAUCGCCGUAUUACGGUCGCAGAGAGAUUCGAGCGAUCGUUGAAUUUCAAAUGAAUGCGAGAUUAAACGAGCCAUUAGAAAGCCAUCACGUGUUUAAUAGCACGUGUAUACUGAUGGGCAGCGAGGCAACAUGGCAUUUAUUUAGAGAGUCGAGGCUGGAUCCUAAGCGAGGAAAUUCUAAGCAUUUGAGUCGAAGAAAAAUAAUUUAAGAUAAGCUCCAUCGUCAUUUUCCCGCGAUAAAUCAUUAGCGCACGUUUACCGGUACGCUACGAGCAAUUAUAAUUUGCGUUGCGCGGUCGAAUAUGAAUGAUAAUAAGCGUUGAAUUAUCGAUGGAACGCGACGGGAUAUUCGUCCCGCAUACGAAAUCGCAGAUCGUCGAUGCAAUCGAAAUUUUUCGCAUUAGUGCAUCAGUACGUGCAGACAUGCAACUGUGCACAUCGAUAAUAAAAUGAUCAAAAUACACUAAGAGAAAAGUAUUUGAUAUUUGUAAUCAUUGUAUAUCAUUGAAUGUUAAAAUAAUUGUUGUGUAAAUUUUGUAAAUUUGAAUAAUCCGCGCAUUUAUGUUUAGUUUAUGUUACCAAAUUACUAGACUAGUUAUCUUUUCGAGCAUUUUCGCGACAUCUAGUCUAAUCGCGAUCAUUGUUACGUUUUUUGUUUUUUCGGCGUUAGUCUCACUUUGCGGCAUGGUGAAGUAAACCUGUAUCACUCAACAUUGAAUUACACUUUCUUUAUCUUGAGAAAGUAAAUAGCGUUUACAUACGCACGUGGCACAAGUCACAAGGAAACACAGUUUUCACGAAACAAUAAUUAUAUAUAAUUUUUUAACGAAAUUUAACUCUAAUUCCGUAACUAUAAUUAUUAGAAUUAUAGAGAAACUCUACUUUUACAGUUAUUAUAAAUAUUAUCUUAACAUAUCUUAAAAAUUUGAUUUAAUGAUUUUUUGAUAGCAGAUUCGAACACAGUGCCUUAAAAUACAUUAAAAAAAGAUUAUUUCCUUUGCUUGCACUAAAAUUAACGUAAAACUGAUAAAUUAAUGCAAUUAUAAAAACGGAACUCCUAACCAUAAUUAUUUUAACAUUAAGUUAUAAUUACAAAUACCAAAUACCUUUCUCUGACAAUCAGUGAACGUAAAGGCAAAUGCCAGACUGGAAUAAAUGUUCCUGGAAGUAAUAAUAUUAAAUGUAAUCGGAAAUAAUAAAUCGAAUUGUGGUGCUAUAUAUAGAAGAGAAAUGCCCGCGCGCAUUAUCACAGUUGUUUCGUAAAGUAACGUCAUCCUCUCGCGUUAUCGGGCGCCAAAUAAUCGUCUCUCUUUCUCUCUCCCGUCGUUUCUUCUAGAAAUCCGUCUAUCUUAUCGGAAAUGACUCAACCACCGCUAUUGAACACAACAUCGGCAGAGAUCUUGAUUCAAAGGCCGUGCCAUGAAUGGAAACUAUGCGGCGAUUCAUGACUCGGCUGCGCUUCGUGGAAGUUAUUAUUCUGCGGAAUAAUUCGCGAGUAUUCUGCGAAUUCCAUCUUCGUGGCACUGAAAAUGUGCGACCUAUUAUCAUAUAUCUUUCGAAUCCAUUCAUCGUCAGAUACAUUAGGCAGAAGCCGAGCCCAUGCUUCCGAAGAAGCAUUUUUUUUCACAAGAGAGAGUCGUAUUGCAGUUCUCGCGAAUGAAUAGGAUAAUAAAUCGCGAUAAUAACUUCCGGUAAUGCUGAGAUUGGAUAGAAAAACACAAUAGAACGCGUAUGUGCACAAUUUUGAAAAAACCGCCUAACGCGCACGGGACUUGCGGAAAUUGCUUGCAAUAUCGCGCUAGAACAGCUUAAUAAUAUUUAAUGCAAUUUAAUGCAAAAUUAACGUACGCGCUCUCUGUUAAUUAACAUUGCUGGAACACGAGCAUUAUUGCACAAACGUACAUAAAUAAUUAAUUACGCUAGUUUCCCCCUUUUUUUAUUCCGUGCAACAUCUUGAAUCUUGAUUGUGAAAGAAAAUCCAUGUAUUUUCUCAACGUGAAAAUUUACAUGGAAUGCAAAACGUUGCUUCCUUUCCCGACAUCUUCUCGACGCGCAUUAUUCGAUCGAGGAUGUAAAAGUUGUCGAUAGCAAUCGCGGCAGGCGACACUAAUGGAAAAAAACGACAUAAGCGGUGCUCAACAGGUGGAUAUAGCGUGUGCGACAGUCAUUCGCGGGGUUUAUUUCGCCUACUAUGUAACAGAUAGCGAGACUACAUCGAGCGCGCCGUGCCGGCCUAGCAAUCAUCGUGACGUGACCUAAGUAAGCUUUAACUGACCCAGCCUUAUGUCGACCUGUUGCAAGCCUUGCAUUCGAUAUUGCCUCUCGACACAGUCGGCCGAGCUGACACUCGGCGCUAUUCACGCGAACGUCAACGCAAGCGAAUGAUUUAUAGCGGUGUUUAUUGUCAAAGCCUUCGGAUAAUUAUUUCUAUGUGCCGGCGAUUACGUUAAUUUACUAUCGCUCUGAGCGCGAUCGCCAAACGUGAUCGAUCGCCGAUGCGAAACGUAAAUGGCAGCGCGCCGCGGAGAUUAGCUUGUUGUCGACAUCUCGAUGUGGUCGACGGUCGCAAUCCCCCAUGACACCCCGGCAUUAUGUAAUAAUGCUCGUUCGUUAGUAACACGUAUCGCGCGCGUAUCGUCGUCUAUCGCGCGAUAUCGCGUUCUUACGAAAAUACGUUAUUACGUGUAAUUGGAUGUCACUGAUGCAACUGUGCUUCGCCUUUGCCCGGGAAAAGUUGCGAGAGUGUACUUCUCUCUCCCUCUCUCUCUCUCUCUCUCUCUCUUUUUUACAUGUUAUUAAGACACAAUCUGGCGAUAAUCCCGGCGCACAUUACGCGACGUCUGGCGCCAGUUUGUCCGCGCGCCUUUGAUACGUCUCGCAGACAAUCCGAACCUCCCCGCCGGACUAUUAUUACACGGCGAAAUAACGCCGGAGGAUGGAGAAGCAAAACACACCGUACACCCGCGGGGAAGAGACUAAACCGCGUUCGACGUGCGUGUCUGACGUGUAGGAAGCAACGCUGAAAAUUCCGGAACGUCAGUCAAUGGACAAUAGCGAUUACCAGCCCGCCCGACACGGAGACCUCAUUGAGGCGGGAAGCACUAUACGUGGCGCCUCAUUCAUGAAUUCCAAGUAUAACCGCAAAUUGGUUUCGUCGGUUACACUGCCCUGCCAGAAACCUGUAAUUGCACGCGCGUUGCACGCACUCGGUUCUCUGAUGCAUACGUGAGGCGUCAACAUCACCGAACGUCUUCUUCGUCUCGAUAAACUAUUAAAGUGCAGUCCAAUCUAUAUAUUUAAUAUACAGAUAAUAUAUAGAUAUAUAAAUAUAAUUUAAAGAUAGUUGAUUAGAUGUUUAACAAUAAUAAUGUAAAUGGGAUUAAACUGGAAAUAUAUAGUUGGGUGGAAUAAAAGAACUGUUAAAAAUUACAAUACAAUAUAAUAAAAAAAGAUUUUAUUGGUUUAAUUGUGGACGUAACUUUUUCAUUUAUUUAAAGUGGUUCAAAAAUCUUUAAACAUUCAAGAAUGUAUUUUCAAGUUUCCGGAACAAAUGUGUUUUUAUAAUAAGUUAAUUCUUUGACCGAUAAAUAUUUUAAACAUAAAGAUAAAGUUUAGAUUGUCUAUUUCAGUCUACAGCGGAUCUUGGUGCUGAAUAUAAUUUUUCUGUUGCUUUAAUAUUCCUAGCUCAAAUAAACUGCAUGUCGACUAUUUUGUCAGUCUUGAAACACAAUUACUAGUCAGAUUCUGAGAUCAAUGUUCAGAAACAUUUUUUUAAUUUUAUCCGAAAAAAAAAAAUUGUAAAUAAUUUAUUGCAAAAAAUAAUAAUACUUCAGCUAGAUUCCUGGUUAGUAACUGUGUUUCAAGACUAACAAAAUUGUUGGCGCGCAAUUUAUUUAAGCUAGGAAUAUUAAAUCAGUAGAAAAAAUAUAUUUAGCCAUGAGUCGCUGUAAACCGAAAAAAAUAGACAAUUUAAACUUUAUAUUAAAACGUAUUUCUUUUUAGAGGCAAACUGUAGUACAAUUUAAAUAGUGUCGAAAACAAUCGAACAUGGAAUACCCAUAAUUGAGCGUUAAGAAUUAAUUACGACGACUUUACAAUUAUCAAUGGGAUUGAUUUUAAUGAUUAAUUAUAAUAAAACAAAAUUUGAAUUUUACAUUUCACAAUCUAAUCAGUACUUUUAAACAGAACAACUUGAUAACUUGUAGCUAUCUGCUUGGAAUAAAUCCGAAAAUUCUUUGUAGAAGGAAUCUUGACGUUUCAUCAACGUAAUAAAUUAUUAGGAGGUCAGUUAAACGCUGUCAUCGUUCGGGUUAGUGUCAGAGAUCGAGAUGGAAAUAAAAUCGCUGUUAAUAACGGCUUAAUGAUCCAUGAAGCGGAAAAGGCGAGCCAUUAGCCUUGAUGCUCUCUCGAGAUACGAAGAGACGGUGUUAAAAAAUUUGCGUUAUAUUGAUUAAAUAAUUAACGAGGUGAAAAUUAUACCUGCCCGCCGGUCUGAGAUGUCUAUCGCGUACAUAUGACUUGCGCGCAAUUAUCAGGCUCGCCAUGCUCGCCGGCAACGUAUUUAAUGAUACGCUUACUUAAUUUCGUGCGAUCCACUCGGUCUUAUCGAUAGAAGAAGUUUCGUCGAUGCGCUCUGCCUCGUCAUUCUUUUAUACCUUGUUUUUUCCUUUCUCGCAACAAGUAGCGCACUCAACGAACCGUAGUAAUGUGUAAUUCGAUCGUCUAGUUGAAUCGUUCGUGCGAGCGGGGAAAAGCCAAAUAGGCCUAGAUGUGAAACACACUUUCGUGUUUCGCUAAAGUACACAAACACCCAACUCGGUAUGCUAUCGUUGAAGGGAAAGACUAAAAGAGGAAAAAAAAAAGAGAGAGAGAUCCGAAUCCUUUCUGAUGAAUUAAGCCGCCACUACCAUUAAGUCCCAUUCAGCAGCGGCAGUUACGACUGCUAGUACGCAAUUUGCGCCGGUGACGAGUCACAUACUUGACUCGAACGCUAAUUGUAAGUGACCGCUCGUGGGCGUCACAGGAAGCUGCGUGUGGUGUGUGCAUGUAUGAGCGAUGCAAGCGUGACGUCUCUCCGGGAAAAAAAUCCUACAACGUACGAGCCAGGGUUCGCCGUUGGCUUUCCUGCGUGUUUGCUUAGCGAGAGCUUUUUUUGUUCACGAGAUUUUUGACAAUAACCCGAAAUUUCCCAGAAUGUGAAGAAAUUAAUAAAAGAAUAACGGAAGGAAUAGUAUAUUUCGUAGGAGUUCGCGUUACUAGCGCGAAAGAUGCGGUACAAAUUUACUUGGGAAAUUACACGAGAUACCGACAGAUACAUCGUACGGUGCGCGUUGCGAAUUAAUUUUUCUUCCUCCCAACAAUGCAUAUCAUGUCUCUCUCUCUCUCUCCUCGUGCGUGUCCAUCUUCUCUGGAUUUCAUGGAACGGAACGUAACAGUAGCCAGGACUGCUCUAAUUGUACCUGGAAUCAGUUAGAACGCUAAAACUCGUAUCUCGCGCUUUAUUUACUCCGUUUCUUACAAACGCCGUCACGCCUCCUGUCUCAUUGUCAGUCUCAUUUAGCUUUUUACAACUUCUUCUGUAUCCUAAGAGAUUCGAAAAUGACAAGUCUAAUUUCUCGCUUUACCGAUUAUAUACAGUUUCAUUGUAUUGGAUUUAUUCCUAAUGGGUAUAUGAAAUCAUCUUGCAUGUAAAUACAUAUAUAAGUUAGACUUUUAAAUUCUCAAAUAAAAAGAUUUUCCUUUUUGGAUUUUUUAAAAACCAGUUUCAAAUGAGUUGUAUCUACAAAUUACAAUCUAAAUUACUACUUACAUAUGCCUAGUGUCAAAUUUAAGUCUGUCUUUUACAUUGUUGACAUUGUGCAAUUUUAAUAGUUGACCGUAUCCAUGAAUAUGGAAAAUCAAACAAUAGUUUACUGCGUAUUUUAAGAAGUUAUAUUAGCACAUACCAUUUUUGCUAUUAGCACGCAUUUUAUGCAUAUACAUAUCGUUUAUCCGUAAAAAUUAUCACACAAAUGUGUUUAUUUGAAAAGAGCAUAAAAAUUACACUAAUGUAUAUAACAAAAUAUAUGAUUAUAUUAUGUACAUAUUGUACACAAUUUUGUGAUAAUUAAAAUAAAAAAUUGUAUAAAGAAUUCCAA